Molecule: ribosomal RNA, 253 nt
Filed under: uncultured bacterium
Lineage: Bacteria
Description: partial 16S ribosomal RNA
Rfam family: Bacterial small subunit ribosomal RNA
Source: RNAcentral
UACGUAGGGGGCAAGCGUUGUCCGGAUUUAUUGGGCGUAAAGAGCGUGUAGGCGGUUUGGUAGGUCCGCUGUGAAAACUCGAGGCUCAACCUCGAGACGCCGGUGGAAACCAUCAGACUAGAGUCCGGAAGAGGAGAGCGGAAUUCCUGGUGUAGCGGUGAAAUGCGCAGAUAUCAGGAAGAACACCCGUGGCUAAGGCGGCUCUCUAGUACGGUACUGACGCUGAGACGCGAAAGCGUGGGUAGCAAACAGG